This is a long non-coding RNA of Alligator mississippiensis (American alligator), 787 nucleotides long. RefSeq lists it as uncharacterized. The record is from RefSeq and is a predicted model, not a curated record. The transcript is spliced from 3 exons. NCBI's taxonomy places the organism in Eukaryota, Metazoa, Chordata, Crocodylia, Alligatoridae.
UUCAAAGUGAAGGAGUAUAACAGGAGCCCUGCUACAUGCUGCUCCCUUAUUUUUUUCCAUUUCCUUAAGCAAGACAGUGGAUAUACCAUAUUUACUCAAAUCCAAGACAAGAUCCUGUCCCCCUGUCACAAGGAAGAAGGUGUGCCCCUACAAGGCCAGAACCUUCUGGGCACAGAGGGAUGGGGAAGAAGGGGUUAACUACUGAACUGGGAUGAAUAGUCAGCUGACAGGAAGAGGCAGGACUAUAAAAACCCUGGGUUGAAUGACAGUAAAGGUCAGCAGCCAGGGAGCCAGCAGCACAUCUCUGAGCUCCAGGGAGAAGCUUGGUGGGAAGUCCAAAGCCAGGAAGAGGAGAACUAUAGAAGCCCUGGAGAGAUGACAGCCGCACUGCAGCAAGGACUGGAGCUGAUGGUGGGGAGCUGAAACAAACCUGCAACUGUCUAAGAUGAUACAUUCCACAACAGGAACAGAAACACUUUCUCAUCAGGGACACUAUUAUGGGCUGUCACAGGAGGAAGAAUUCUUUAAGAAAUCCAAUUCAUCCAUGACUGACAGACAAGUUCAGAGCAUCUGCUAUUCUUCUGAGCCUCCGUCUCCUCACAUUUUUAUCCCUCAUUCUGAGUUUCCGGUCAAGAUGCUAACUGACUGGCGAAGGCAAUCUGACUGUUUCUGAAGGGAGAGAGAGAGAGAAUGGUCCUGGUGGGUCCAGCAAGCUAAAGAGUGGGCAGUGGCCCAAAGAAACAUCUCAAGAAACGAAAAAUUGUGAUUCUAUAAAAAGAUUAAAUCA